RNAcentral lists this ribosomal RNA (325 nucleotides) under uncultured eukaryote. RNAcentral's name for it is "partial 18S ribosomal RNA". It matches the Rfam family "Eukaryotic small subunit ribosomal RNA", at positions 1470 to 1796 of the family's 1831-position model. The record is from RNAcentral.
CCCUUAGAUGUCCUGGGCCGUACGCGCGCUACACUGAUGCAUUCAACGAGUUUUACCUUGGCCGAGAGGCCUGGGCAAUCUUUUGAACCUGCAUCGUGAUAGGGAUAGAUUAUUGCAAUUAUUAAUCUUGAACGAGGAAUUCCUAGUAAACGCAGAUCAUCAAUCUGCAUUGAUUACGUCCCUGCCCUUUGUACACACCGCCCGUCGCACCUACCGAUUGAAUGGUCCGGUGAAGCCUCGGGAUUGUGGCGAGUUCCCUUUAUUGGGAGUUUGUCGCGAGAACUUGUCUAAACCUUAUCAUUUAGAGGAAGGUGAANUCGUANCA